ACGUUUUUUUUCUUUUUAUCAUUUUUAUUUUAAUAUUAUUUCUGCUUGGAGAAUGAAUGUACCGCUGAAGUGGAAUCGUCAGGUACACUUUCUAAUUGUUUUUGUCUUGUUCGCGAUUCUGGUAUUGAAUUGCCAGAAAUUGUGUUGGGGUGGUCAUUUCAAAUAAAUAUAUCAUUUCCCGCUCCUCAAGUAUAGGCAACCAAUAUAACAUCUUUUCUCGUCAAAUUGUCAAGUCGCAAAAACUUGUUUUGAAUCCCAUCUGUGAAAUAUAGAUACAUCAAUUGGAACUCAUUUUUCCGUAUUUCUCGAGUGUAGAGCAUCUCAGCUAAUCCGAAUAAAGAUUUUCUGUCUUCGACCAUUUGAGUUGGAUUAUUUGGAAAAUUGCAGAUAAUAUCAUAAUUUUGCUGAUUAUUUUGGAUAUUUAUAUCACGUUUUGGAAUCAAGCAGAAUUUCCGUCUUGUACGGGAUAAAAAUUCUACAUACUCUGAUAGAAAUUUCUAUAAAAGCCGCCCUCCAUCUUAGGCUUUCAAUUCUUUCAAUUCUUCUGAAUAUUUUACUGAUUCGAUAUAUAAGUGGAUCAACCUGAAUUAUUGGCGUGUUGGUUGAUGCAAAGACAUCCCUUGGACAUAGGCACCCCCAUUGCCUUAUACUGAGGGUUGGAAUAACUUCUAACCGGUUGGGAGCGAACCGAAUUCAACAUUUCCA
Long non-coding RNA from Harmonia axyridis, 705 nucleotides. RefSeq lists it as uncharacterized. The record is from RefSeq and is a predicted model, not a curated record. Lineage: Eukaryota; Metazoa; Arthropoda; Insecta; Coleoptera; Coccinellidae. The transcript has 2 exons.